UUCAGGGGGACCUCAUCAGCCAAGUAAUAUGCACAUAGGAGUGCCAGGAACCUGCUAGACAUCGCCUGUGCUUUGCCCUGUAUUUGGAAGCCCAUUGGGAAAUUUGAAAAGGUCUGAGAAGAAUCAUCCCGUCUGUUAAGUGAUAAUUUGAGAAGAAAGAAACAUCGUCCUUGAAGUGCAGAGAGUUGCUUCUCUCUUGACACCUUAGAGGCAAGUCCAGGGAGCAGAAUUAAGUGACAGUAAAAGGAAAAGAUCACAUGUAUCACAGGAAUGAGAAAUCCUUAUGGCUAAGUCAGCUUUCCACAGUUAGGCUACACUUUGAUGUUGGCAAAAGUUUCCCUAGUGGGAGAGACAUAGGGAAAAGGGCAGAGGAAUAAAGAGACAGCUUCACUUACCCAGUCUAAGUAAAGAGGUGAACAGUUCAUCCAUCUAAUAUUUAAUAUGGGCUUCUCUUGUGAAGAGCUGGAAAUGCAUUUAUUAAAGUCUGCAUAAGCAGUUGAGUUAUAACCUCCAAAAUAAACUGGAAGAAAUAAAGGAAAAGAAACUGACUUACUGAAAAGUUUAUAAGCCCUCACAGAGAGCCAAGCUGCAAACAAGAAUCCAUGCAGAGCUGAAGGGAUGUCUCCGGGGGAUUAGUUGCAGAAUUGUUUUCUCUAGUGGAUGCUGUAGUGUAUGGACCGAUUCCUCCAUUGAUGGCCAAACUACUCAUUCCCCCACCUGCUGAGAAUCAGAGUGUGGACGGCUGAUGACUCAUGACUGAGUUCCUUACCAGGAAUUAACCUUGACUGGGCCCAAGUGUAUGCUCCCUGUCUGGGUUCAAAUUAAAAUCCAAAACGUAGUCUAUGUGGGAGUACAGAUACCCAGUCAUCAUGUCUCAGUUUGGGGCAGCUCUGAUGGGUCCUCCCAGUUCUAGAACCAGCUGUAGUCUUUAUUGUAAUGGCAUCAUAGUUCAGCUUGCCCUUGCCUAAUUCUGCUGCCUUCCUUUCUUCACUGGUGUUCUUUCCCAAACAACUCGGGAAUAAAUUC
This 1026-nucleotide long non-coding RNA is filed under the name Homo sapiens (human). RNAcentral's name for it is "HSALNT0386474". The record is from RNAcentral. Lineage: Eukaryota; Metazoa; Chordata; Mammalia; Primates; Hominidae.